Molecule: ribosomal RNA, 414 nt
Filed under: uncultured bacterium
Lineage: Bacteria
Description: bacterial SSU rRNA
Rfam family: Bacterial small subunit ribosomal RNA
Source: RNAcentral
UCGGGAAUAUUGCGCAAUGGAGGAAACUCUGACGCAGUGACGCCGCGUGCAGGAAGAAGGUUUUCGGAUUGUAAACUGCUUUAGACAGGGAAGAAACAAGACAGUACCUGUAGAAUAAGCUCCGGCUAACUACGUGCCAGCAGCCGCGUAAUACGUAGGGAGCAAGCGUUAUCCGGAUUUAUUGGGUGUAAAGGGUGCGUAGACGGGAAUGCAAGUUGGUUGUGAAAUCCCUCGGCUCAACCGAGGAAUUGCAACCAAAACUAUAUUUCUUGAGUGCUGGAGAGGAAAGUGGAAUUCCUAGUGUAGCGGUGAAAUGCGUAGAUAUUAGGAGGAACACCAGUGGCGAAGGCGACUUUCUGGACAGUAACUGACGUUGAAGCACGAAAGUGUGGGGAGCAAACAGGAUUAGAUACC